UGCGUAGGCGGAUAAAUAAGUCAGUGGUGAAAUCUUUCGGCUCAACCGGGAAACUGCCAUUGAUACUGUUUAUCUUGAGUACGGUAGAGGUAGGCGGAAUGUGUAAUGUAGCGGUGAAAUGCUUAGAUAUUACACAGAACACCAAUUGCGUAGGCAGCUUACUAGACCGACACUGACGCUGAGGCACGAAAGCGUGGGGAGCGAACAGGAUUAGAUACCCUGGUAGUCC
Molecule: ribosomal RNA, 229 nt
Filed under: uncultured bacterium
Lineage: Bacteria
Description: partial 16S ribosomal RNA
Rfam family: Bacterial small subunit ribosomal RNA
Source: RNAcentral